Molecule: long non-coding RNA, 986 nt
Filed under: Solanum tuberosum (potato)
Lineage: Eukaryota; Viridiplantae; Streptophyta; Magnoliopsida; Solanales; Solanaceae
Description: long non-coding RNA (STUB_LNC003879)
Source: RNAcentral
GAGAAUAUAAGUUAGUUUGUUACAAAUUGGUUGUAGUACAGUUAGUUAGAGUUAGUUACAGAGAAGUCAGAAUUUGUACAGUUUGUUAGCUAGCUUUCAGUUUGUGUAUCUAUAUAUAUAUAUAGAAUCACAUGUAAUAGUUACUCUCUUAAUUCACAUUCAAUGAAACAGAUUUUUCAUGUAGCUUUUCCAGAAUCUUCUUCUUCUCUCAUAUGAACUCAAUGUUCAUCAAUGGAGGAAUUCGAUUGUUUAGCAGCAUAGUAUGUUGAUUUUCUCAUGGUAUCAGAGCCAGAUCCAUCCCAAUUUGUUGUUCACCGAUGUUGGUCCCCCAUUUAGAAGUGUUCACACUCCAAUUGAGGUCUGGGUGUGCGGGAGAGUGUUAAGAAGUCCUACAUCGGCAGAAGGAUGAGAAUUUGAUCUCCUUAUAUGGACUUGGACAAACCUCCCCUCAUGAGCUAGCAUUUAGGGUUGACUUAGGCUCAGGUGCCAUAUCUUUACAUUUUGUAGUUUUUGGAAUUUUUUUAAAGACUUUAUAAGUCUUUAUUUUAUGGUUUUAGUGUUUAAUGAUGUUUAUUAUGAUAUUGUAUGUACAUGCUUAGUUGUUUGGUUUGUUUGAAAUGGUUGGAUCAAAUAUAUAUUGAAUUGUAUUUUAAUUGCAGGUGGAUAGUUUCUGUUGUCAAAAAAAUACAGAAAAGUGACAGACAUGGUUACUUUUGUGCGUCCCUUUUCUGAAAUGUUUUUUGAAUUUGCUUUUUUCAUAUUAAAGAACAAAGCAACGGACGGUGUCACAUUUUUAAAAAAAAUUAAAAAAAUUGUAACACCGUCUAACACUUUCUUCUUCAGAUUGAAGAACAAAGCGAUGGACAAUGUAAGGCACGUAACAGAUUAUGAAGCUCGUGAGCCCCUUUAAUUUCCAGAAAUCAGCUACGAGUUCAAAAUUUUUUCACAAUUGCAGUACACUAGGCAAGGCACGUAACAGAUUAUGA